ACGCUAGCUACAGGCUUAACACAUGCAAGUCGAGGGGCAUCAGGAAGAAAGCUUGCUUUCUUUGCUGGCGACCGGCGCACGGGUGAGUAACACGUAUCCAACCUGCCCUUUACUCGGGGAUAGCCUUUCGAAAGAAAGAUUAAUACCCGAUGGCAUAAUGAUUCCGCAUGGUUUCAUUAUUAAAGGAUUCCGGUAAAGGAUGGGGAUGCGUUCCAUUAGGUUGUUGGUGAGGUAACGGCUCACCAAGCCUUCGAUGGAUAGGGGUUCUGAGAGGAAGGUCCCCCACAUUGGAACUGAGACACGGUCCAAACUCCUACGGGAGGCAGCAGUGAGGAAUAUUGGUCAAUGGGCGCUAGCCUGAACCAGCCAAGUAGCGUGAAGGAUGAAGGCUCUAUGGGUCGUAAACUUCUUUUAUAUAAGAAUAAAGUGCAGUAUGUAUACUGUUUUGUAUGUAUUAUAUGAAUAAGGAUCGGCUAACUCCGUGCCAGCAGCCGCGGUAAUACGGAGGAUCCGAGCGUUAUCCGGAUUUAUUGGGUUUAAAGGGAGCGUAGGUGGACUGGUAAGUCAGUUGUGAAAGUUUGCGGCUCAACCGUAAAAUUGCAGUUGAUACUGUCAGUCUUGAGUACAGUAGAGGUGGGCGGAAUUCGUGGUGUAGCGGUGAAAUGCUUAGAUAUCACGAAGAACUCCGAUUGCGAAGGCAUCUCACUGGACUGCAACUGACACUGAUGCUCGAAAGUGUGGGUAUCAAACAGGAUUAGAUACCCUGGUAGUCCACACAGUAAACGAUGAAUACUCGCUGUUUGCGAUAUACAGUAAGCGGCCAAGCGAAAGCAUAAAGUAUUCCACCUGGGGAGUACGCCGGCAACGGUGAAACUCAAAAGGAAUUGACGGGGGCCCGCACAAGCGGAGGAACAUGUGGUUUAAUUCGAUGAUACGCGAGGAACCUUACCCGGGCUUAAAUUGCAGUGGAAUGAUGUGGAAACAUGUCAGUGAGCAAUCACCGCUGUGAAGGUGCUGCAUGGUUGUCGUCAGCUCGUGCCGUGAGGUGUCGGCUUAAGUGCCAUAACGAGCGCAACCCUUAUCUUUAGUUACUAACAGGUUAUGCUGAGGACUCUAGAGAGACUGCCGUCGUAAGAUGUGAGGAAGGUGGGGAUGACGUCAAAUCAGCACGGCCCUUACGUCCGGGGCUACACACGUGUUACAAUGGGGGGUACAGAAGGCAGCUAGCGGGUGGCCGUAUGCUAAUCCCAAAAGCCUCUCUCAGUUCGGAUCGAAGUAUGCAACCCGACUUCGUGAAGCUGGAUUCGCUAGUAAUCGCGCAUCAGCCACGGCGCGGUGAAUACGUUCCCGGGCCUUGUACACACCGCCCGUCAAGCCAUGGGAGCCGGGGGUGCCUGAAGUACGUAACCGCAAGGAUCGUCCUAGGGUAAAACUGGUGACUGGGGC
RNAcentral lists this ribosomal RNA (1446 nucleotides) under uncultured organism. RNAcentral describes it as "SSU rRNA". It matches the Rfam family "Bacterial small subunit ribosomal RNA". The record is from RNAcentral.